Amaranthus tricolor (Joseph's coat) is the source of this 1733-nucleotide long non-coding RNA. RefSeq lists it as uncharacterized. The record is from RefSeq and is a predicted model, not a curated record. The transcript is spliced from 3 exons. Lineage: Eukaryota; Viridiplantae; Streptophyta; Magnoliopsida; Caryophyllales; Amaranthaceae.
AUAUUCAAUGGUGGCGGCUGUUGCUGGCGUGGCUGUGGGAGGCAGGCUGGUGGUGGGGUGGCCGAUUGGUGGUGGAGGAAGAGGGUUGGGGUGUAAAGAAGUGUUUUUACUUUUUUUUCCUUUAUUUAUUUAUUUAUUUUUCUUUUUUUUUUUAAAUAGUACCAGAUUGUAGUGGAUGCCUUGAACAAAUUCAGGUCAAAGUUGAGAUUAUUUAAAAAUAAUCGAUAGUGAGGAUUAUUUAUGGCCAAUGAACGAUAGUUGGGAUUAUUUUGAGCCAAUUUUCCAAUAAAUAAUUAUUAGUUAAGAUAACAAAAUAGUAGAUAUUUGGCUUAUUCCUUACUUUUCCAAUUAAUAUUUAAUUUUGUUCUUUUAUUAUUAUCCCUAUUUCUAUAUGCUAGAAACCAAAAAUUAAAUUUUGGCACUAACAUUACAAGUAUUCAUCUUCUCCUCAAAACCCCUCCUCCUCCUUCUAUUUCCCCAUGAUUCUCUGUAAUCUUGAGGUAGUAAUGCAAUGUUCGAUUCACGUGAAGCCUUGAAGCAACUUCCUCCCUCUCCUUGCGACAGAACCGGGCAGCCAUCAAACCCCACCUUCUUCCUCUUCUUCUUCCAUCUAUUAUUCAUCAUCUUCUUCAUUUGCCCUUUUUUUUUCCCAAAACCCUUACAUUUUCGAAAACCCCAAUCAUUUUCCUUUCAUUCUUGAUUUCGAAGCAAACUAGCAACCAAAUACAUCAUCUUAUUCUGUCCCAGUUUUGAAUUGUAGUUAACCUCAUUUUCUCUCAUCUUUUAUGAAUUUCGAGAAUGCUUUUGGCAAAUACAAGAACCAUUAUCUAAUUUCUUGGGUUGAUUUCUUUGGUGUACGACUGGGUCAGUGUAGGUGCAAGUUGAGGAAACAUCUCAAGGCUGAAUUCUUGCAGUUUCUCUUUCUGGAUAAUUUCGAAAGAACCAAAUAUUAAAAUUUCCUCCAGUUUCCUAUGAUUUCUCGGCCAAUCAACAGCAACUUCCUUCGUUUCGGUUGCCACUGGUUUCGAAGUGGAAAUGACUUCGCUAAGGAUCUUCUAGUUGAUAGCUAUGGCUUGGACUCAACUCGUUAAAGCAACGUUGUAGUUGUUUGCAGAUCGGAAUCGGUUGGGAACGAGGGUUAGCGGCGAUGAUUAGAGUUACAGAGAUGUUAUAUUGAGCUGAGUACACGACAAGUGUAGUAUUGUAUUAGGUUUUUGAUAGAUGUAUAUUAGACUUGAUUGUGUUGGUUAUAUUGGACUUAUGGAGUGACUUUUAUGAUUACUUGGUAUUUUAGUUAGAUGUUCAGUUUGAGAAUUAGUUGAGUUAGUUACGUUAAAGAACUGGCGACUCAUUUGCUCAAGUUUUGAAAUUGUGAUUUAAGUUUCUUGGAAAACAGACCCCGUGAUGACCCUUUUCACCUAGUCAAUGGUAAGUCGGGUUGUUACAGUUAUAAACUCUUUUAUUGUUUUUUUGGUUUUGUCUUCUACAUAAACACAUAAUCAUUUAGUUCAAUCGGUUCGUACUAAUCGGUUGAUGUGAUUGAUUGUAUCUCAUUGUGAAUUUCCGGUCUCAUAACCCAAGUACCUUUGUAGGGGAAAUAUUACAAAAGGAAAAUAUCGUUGUCGCCUUCAAUCUAUAUCAAGAUUUCUAAGUGACGCUCAUCGUCGCAAACUAAUCUUCUCUACGGUGUUUUCGUUCAAUUCAUGAUUCAUUCAAGCAACGAGUCCGUUGCC